RNAcentral lists this ribosomal RNA (114 nucleotides) under Zingiber officinale. The record is from RNAcentral. Lineage: Eukaryota; Viridiplantae; Streptophyta; Magnoliopsida; Zingiberales; Zingiberaceae.
GUGAUCACACUGGCACUAAUGCACCGGAUCCCAUCAGAACUCCGAAGUUAUGCUUGCAUGGGAGAGGGCAGUACUAUGAUGGGUGACCACCUGGGUAGUCCUCGUGUUGCACCU